GAUGAACGCUGACAGAAUGCUUAACACAUGCAAGUCAACUUGAACUUCGGUUUGGGUGGCGGACGGGUGAGUCACGCGUAACGAACUUGCCUCACAGAUAGGGACAACAUUUGGAAACGAAUGCUAAUACCUGAUAUUAUGAUUUUAGGGCAUCCUAGGAUUAUGAAAGCUAUAUGCGCUGUGAGAGAGCUUUGCGUCCCAUUAGCUAGUUGGAGAGGUAACGGCUCACCAAGGCGAUGAUGGGUAGCCGGCCUGAGAGGGUGAUCGGCCACAAGGGGACUGGGACACGGCCCUUACUCCUACGGGAGGAAGAGUGGGGAAUAAUUGGAAAAUGGACCAAGAGUCAGGUAGAGAAAUUCUGUGUGGAAGAUGAAGUUUUUCGGAAUGUAAAGUGGUUUCAGUUGGGAAGAAAAAAAUGACGGUACCAACAGAAGAAGUGACGGCUAAAUACGUG
RNAcentral lists this ribosomal RNA (454 nucleotides) under uncultured bacterium. Its description in RNAcentral is "partial 16S ribosomal RNA". It matches the Rfam family "Bacterial small subunit ribosomal RNA", at positions 28 to 507 of the family's 1533-position model. The record is from RNAcentral.